AAGUCGUAACAAGGUUUCCGUAGGUGAACCUGCGGAAGGAUCAUUAACACGUAUCCAACGUUAAACCCCUGUGAACCAUCAUUGUGCUCCCCCAUUCCGUUAGGCAAUCCCUGGUAAAUCAUCGCCGAACAGUUUUGAUUCAGGGACCUCUGCAUGGAGUGGGCAGCAGCGCGACGCAGUAACGAUCGCUAGAGGACGCUCACGCCUAUCACCAACGGGUCUGCGCUUAAUUGUGCGGCCACCAAACUCGAACAACUGUUAACAAUUGAUAUCUUGGUUCUC
Molecule: unclassified non-coding RNA, 282 nt
Filed under: fungal sp.
Lineage: Eukaryota; Fungi
Description: partial internal transcribed spacer region
Rfam family: Eukaryotic small subunit ribosomal RNA (bases 1-46)
Source: RNAcentral